Molecule: ribosomal RNA, 348 nt
Filed under: Triticum aestivum (bread wheat)
Lineage: Eukaryota; Viridiplantae; Streptophyta; Magnoliopsida; Poales; Poaceae
Description: partial small subunit ribosomal RNA
Source: RNAcentral
AUGAUUGUACACCUCCUAUGCCCACUUAAUUGUGUGUUCAUUUUGUUAAUCAAAAAGCAUCUGAUUUUAUGGCUGGGUACGCUGAAAAUAUAUAAAACAUUUCUUCUUUUGGAUAAUUUGUUUCCCUUUGACCAAUCUUUGUUACUUGCCUACACAUCUGUGCAUAGCGUAAUGCUCCAGCAUGACCGCUUCGUGUGCUGCCUCGAGUCGCGCGGCCACUACGCUCGCGCCGAGGCGGAGGCAGCUGCCACUCUCGACGCCCUCCGCUGCACGCUCUCGCCGGCGGCAUUCGCAAAGCCUUGUCACCACGCUGCAAGUGUUGCCCCCUCCUCCCCAAGGGCAUGGUGA